Molecule: long non-coding RNA, 1690 nt
Filed under: Homo sapiens (human)
Lineage: Eukaryota; Metazoa; Chordata; Mammalia; Primates; Hominidae
Description: HSALNT0303293
Source: RNAcentral
UGUGGAUGUCCUUUCUGUUUGUUAGUUUUCCUUCUAACAGACAGGACCCUCAGCUGCAGGUCUGUUGGAGUGCCUGGCUGUGUGAGGUGUCAGUCUGCCCCUGCUGGGCGGUGCCUCCCUGUUAGGCUGCUUGGGGGUCAGGGGUCAGGGACCCACUUGAGGAGGCAGUCUGCCCAUUCUCACAUCUCCAGCUGCGUGCUGGGAGAACCACUGCUCUCUUCAAAGCUGUCAGACAGGGACAUUUAAGUCUGCAGCGGUUACUGCUGUCUUUUUGUUUGUCUGUGCCCUGCCCCCAGAGGCGGAGCCUACAGAGGCAAGCAGGCCUCCUUGAGCUGUGGUGGGCUCCACCCAGUUCGAGCUUCCCGGCUGCUUUGUUUACCUAAGCUAGCCUGGGCAAUGGCGGGCGCCCCUCCCCCAGCUUCUCUGCGGCCUUGCAGUUUGAUCUCAGACUGCUGUGCUAGCAAUCAGCGAGACUCCGCGGGCGUAGGACCCUCCGAGCCAGUGCUUCAGAGGUACAGUCCUUUUCCAAGAACCACCGCCAUGCCAUUGCCACUGGUACCUCUCCUCACUCAACUCCUCUCCUGGUGGUGCUUUGAAGAUGGCUGGAACUCUAGUCUUUACUCAGCUACUAAAGUUGGCUGUCUUCCAGCAGCCUUCCCAACUCCUGCUGAAAGAAGGAAAAAGGUAGAAAGGAACAUGUGAGAUGGUAGAGAGACGUGCACUGUUCAAUGUAACUCCACAUCUUCAGCAAAUCCUGUUAAACUAAAAAAAAAUGAUGCUGACUUCUAAGUCCAGGUGAAUGCACGACAGAGACAACACAUGCAGAUUCAGGAGCCAUUGGCGGGGAAUACCAGGAGAAUAACUCCUGGAAAUGCACAAAAAUCAUAAGGAGGGCUUUGGAUUUCAAGGCUUUGGAAUUGGAAGUUUUGCAUCAAGUUUACAUGUAUCUCCAGGACAGCUGAUAUUGGAUACUCAUUUAAAAGAAGACUUUUCAGUACCCAGUUGGAAAUAAAGCUUUAGAAUCCAAGUAUCCCUGAGGGAGAUGACUCUGGCAAAAAUGCACACUGAGGUAUAAAGAACUCAUGCCAUUCAAAAGCCUUAUUCAAAAGUACAUGUGGGAGGGCAGCAGGAAUCUGAAGUAGAAGAGGAGAAGAGAUGCUGGUAUGGGAAGGGAGGUGGUGAGAAGGAAGGCAUAUCUGCAACUGGGCCAAUUAAAAUGUGCAGCAUGUACAGGAGGUGGGAGAAUAAUCAAAUGAAUAACAAGUAUUAACUUUUCUGUAUUGCUAAGUUGUAAACUUAAAGGAGACAUUUUAAAAGGAUCUUAAAUUCUGUUCCUCAAUCUCAGUGACAUGAGAUAAUAUGCAUAUUGCUACAUCUUUUCUUUUUAAUGACCUAUAAAAGCAAUCAGGUGUGAGAACUUGAAAUUUUGUGAUCUGUUACAGUAUGCGCGUUAUGAAGCUCACACUCAUUUUCACUUUUAAGUGUCUCUGUUGUUUCUUUAGUUUUCAUUUUUAACAUUGUACCCAUAAAAAAUAACAUAUGUUGUUGUAAAAUGCUUUUAUUUUCUCUUCAGGUUCAUUAAAUUACUUCCAAAAAAAUGAUUUCUUAGUUAAAUUGUUUGACCUUUUCUGUUCUUGACAUUGGAUACAUAUGGCCCUCCACCAUCUCACUGCUCCCGAAGAUAAGAACC